Molecule: ribosomal RNA, 423 nt
Filed under: uncultured bacterium
Lineage: Bacteria
Description: bacterial SSU rRNA
Rfam family: Bacterial small subunit ribosomal RNA
Source: RNAcentral
GGAAUAUUGCGCAAUGGGGGCAACCCUGACGCAGCCAUGCCGCGUGAAUGAAGAAGGCCUUCGGGUUGUAAAGUUCUUUCGGUAGCGAGGAAGGCAUUUAGUUUAAUAUACUAGGUGAUUGACGUUAACUACAGAAGAAGCACACGCCAACUCCGAGCCAGCAGCCGCGGUAAUACGUAGGGUGCGAGCGUUAAUCGGAAUAACUGGGCGUAAAGGUCACGCAGGCGGUGACUUAAGUGAGGUGUGAAAGCCCCGGGCUUAACCUGGGAAUUGCAUUUCAUACUGGGUCGCUAGAGUACUUUAGGGAGGGGUAGAAUUCCACGUGUAGCGGUGAAAUGCGUAGAGAUGUGGAGGAAUACCGAAGGCGAAGGCAGCCCCUUGGGAAUGUACUGACGCUCAUGUGCGAAAGCGUGGGGAGCAAAC